RNAcentral lists this ribosomal RNA (253 nucleotides) under uncultured bacterium. RNAcentral's name for it is "partial 16S ribosomal RNA". It matches the Rfam family "Bacterial small subunit ribosomal RNA", at positions 524 to 776 of the family's 1533-position model. The record is from RNAcentral.
UACGUAGGGGGCAAGCGUUGUCCGGAAUCAUUGGGCGUAAAGCGCGUGUAGGCGGCCAGAAAAGUCCGCUGUGAAAACCCGGGGCUCAACCCCGGGCCUGCAGUCGAUACGGGCAGACUAGAGUGCGGUAGGGGAGACUGGAAUUCCUGGUGUAGCGGUGAAAUGCGCAGAUAUCAGGAGGAACACCGGUGGCGAAGGCGGGUCUCUGGGCCGUAACUGACGCUGAGGAGCGAAAGCGUGGGGAGCGAACAGG